RNAcentral lists this transfer RNA (73 nucleotides) under Candidatus Woesearchaeota archaeon. RNAcentral's name for it is "tRNA-Val". It matches the Rfam family "tRNA". Rfam says of the family: Transfer RNA (tRNA) molecules are approximately 80 nucleotides in length. Their secondary structure includes four short double-helical elements and three loops (D, anti-codon, and T loops). Lineage: Archaea; Nanobdellati; Candidatus Woesearchaeota. The record is from RNAcentral.
GGGCUCGUAGUUUAGUGGCUAUAACAUCCCGUUGACGUCGGGAAGGUCUCCGGUUCAAGUCCGGACGGGCCCA